This 761-nucleotide ribosomal RNA is filed under the name uncultured bacterium. RNAcentral describes it as "bacterial SSU rRNA". It matches the Rfam family "Bacterial small subunit ribosomal RNA", at positions 28 to 776 of the family's 1533-position model. The record is from RNAcentral.
GAUGAACGCUAGCUACCGGUUUAACACAUGCAAGUCGAGGGGAAACGACAUCGAAAGCUUGCUUUUGAUGGGCGUCGACCGGCGCACGGGUGAGUAACGCGUAUCCAACCUGCCCACCACUUGGGGAUAGCCUUGCGAAAGUAAGAUUAAUACCCGGCGGUCUCGGAUGGCCGCAUGACUAUCCGAGUGAAGAUUUAUCGGUAUGAGAUGGCGAUGCGUCCCAUUAGCUAGUUGGUGAGGUAAUGGCUCACCAAGGCAUCGAUGGGUAGGGGUUCUGAGAGGAAGGUCCCCCACAUUGGAACUGAGACACGGUCCAAACUCCUACGGGAGGCAGCAGUGAGGAAUAUUGGUCAAUGGACGAAAGUCUGAACCAGCCAAGUAGCGUGCAGGAUGACGGCCCUCUGGGUUGUAAACUGCUUUUAGUUGGGAAUAAAAAGAGGGACGUGUCCCUUAUUGUAUGUACCAUCAGAAAAAGGACCGGCUAAUUCCGUGCCAGCAGCCGCGGUAAUACGGAAGGUCCAGGCGUUAUCCGGAUUUAUUGGGUUUAAAGGGAGCGCAGGCGGCGGCGUAAGUCAGUUGUGAAAUCGUGCGGCUUAACCGUGCAAUUGCAGUUGAUACUGCGUCGCUUGAGUGCACACAGGGAUGUUGGAAUUCAUGGUGUAGCGGUGAAAUGCUUAGAUAUCAUGAAGAACUCCGAUCGCGAAGGCAUAUGUCCGGAGUGCAACUGACGCUGAGGCUCGAAAGUGUGGGUAUCAAACAGG